AGCGAACGCUGGCGGCAGGCCUAACACAUGCAAGUCGAACGAACCCUUCGGGGUUAGUGGCGGACGGGUGAGUAACACGUGGGAACGUACCUUUAGGUUCGGAACAACACAGGGGAAACUUGUGCUAAUGCCGAAUGUGCCCUUCGGGGGAAAGAUUUAUCGCCUUUAGAGCGGCCCGCGUCUGAUUAGCUUGUUGGUGAGGUAAAGGCUCACCAAGGCUUCGAUCAGUAGCUGGUCUGAGAGGAUGAUCAGCCACACUGGGACUGAGACACGGCCCAGACUCCUACGGGAGGCAGCAGUGGGGAAUCUUGCGCAAUGGGCGAAAGCCUGACGCAGCCAUGCCGCGUGAAUGAUGAAGGUCUUAGGAUUGUAAAAUUCUUUCACCGGGGAAGAUAAUGACGGUACCCGGAGAAGAAGCCCCGGCUAACUUCGUGCCAGCAGCCGCGGU
RNAcentral lists this ribosomal RNA (448 nucleotides) under uncultured bacterium. RNAcentral describes it as "bacterial SSU rRNA". It matches the Rfam family "Bacterial small subunit ribosomal RNA", at positions 29 to 521 of the family's 1533-position model. The record is from RNAcentral.